This 2645-nucleotide ribosomal RNA is filed under the name Escherichia coli KTE36. RNAcentral's name for it is "bacterial LSU rRNA". It matches the Rfam family "Bacterial large subunit ribosomal RNA". Lineage: Bacteria; Pseudomonadati; Pseudomonadota; Gammaproteobacteria; Enterobacterales; Enterobacteriaceae. The record is from RNAcentral.
GAGGAGCCCAGAGCCUGAAUCAGUGUGUGUGUUAGUGGAAGCGUCUGGAAAGGCGCGCGAUACAGGGUGACAGCCCCGUACACAAAAAUGCACAUGCUGUGAGCUCGAUGAGUAGGGCGGGACACGUGGUAUCCUGUCUGAAUAUGGGGGGACCAUCCUCCAAGGCUAAAUACUCCUGACUGACCGAUAGUGAACCAGUACCGUGAGGGAAAGGCGAAAAGAACCCCGGCGAGGGGAGUGAAAAAGAACCUGAAACCGUGUACGUACAAGCAGUGGGAGCCUCUUUUAUGGGGUGACUGCGUACCUUUUGUAUAAUGGGUCAGCGACUUAUAUUCUGUAGCAAGGUUAACCGAAUAGGGGAGCCGAAGGGAAACCGAGUCUUAACUGGGCGUUAAGUUGCAGGGUAUAGACCCGAAACCCGGUGAUCUAGCCAUGGGCAGGUUGAAGGUUGGGUAACACUAACUGGAGGACCGAACCGACUAAUGUUGAAAAAUUAGCGGAUGACUUGUGGCUGGGGGUGAAAGGCCAAUCAAACCGGGAGAUAGCUGGUUCUCCCCGAAAGCUAUUUAGGUAGCGCCUCGUGAAUUCAUCUCCGGGGGUAGAGCACUGUUUCGGCAAGGGGGUCAUCCCGACUUACCAACCCGAUGCAAACUGCGAAUACCGGAGAAUGUUAUCACGGGAGACACACGGCGGGUGCUAACGUCCGUCGUGAAGAGGGAAACAACCCAGACCGCCAGCUAAGGUCCCAAAGUCAUGGUUAAGUGGGAAACGAUGUGGGAAGGCCCAGACAGCCAGGAUGUUGGCUUAGAAGCAGCCAUCAUUUAAAGAAAGCGUAAUAGCUCACUGGUCGAGUCGGCCUGCGCGGAAGAUGUAACGGGGCUAAACCAUGCACCGAAGCUGCGGCAGCGACACUAUGUGUUGUUGGGUAGGGGAGCGUUCUGUAAGCCUGUGAAGGUGUACUGUGAGGUAUGCUGGAGGUAUCAGAAGUGCGAAUGCUGACAUAAGUAACGAUAAAGCGGGUGAAAAGCCCGCUCGCCGGAAGACCAAGGGUUCCUGUCCAACGUUAAUCGGGGCAGGGUGAGUCGACCCCUAAGGCGAGGCCGAAAGGCGUAGUCGAUGGGAAACAGGUUAAUAUUCCUGUACUUGGUGUUACUGCGAAGGGGGGACGGAGAAGGCUAUGUUGGCCGGGCGACGGUUGUCCCGGUUUAAGCGUGUAGGCUGGUUUUCCAGGCAAAUCCGGAAAAUCAAGGCUGAGGCGUGAUGACGAGGCACUACGGUGCUGAAGCAACAAAUGCCCUGCUUCCAGGAAAAGCCUCUAAGCAUCAGGUAACAUCAAAUCGUACCCCAAACCGACACAGGUGGUCAGGUAGAGAAUACCAAGGCGCUUGAGAGAACUCGGGUGAAGGAACUAGGCAAAAUGGUGCCGUAACUUCGGGAGAAGGCACGCUGAUAUGUAGGUGAAGCGACUUGCUCGUGGAGCUGAAAUCAGUCGAAGAUACCAGCUGGCUGCAACUGUUUAUUAAAAACACAGCACUGUGCAAACACGAAAGUGGACGUAUACGGUGUGACGCCUGCCCGGUGCCGGAAGGUUAAUUGAUGGGGUUAGCGGUAACGCGAAGCUCUUGAUCGAAGCCCCGGUAAACGGCGGCCGUAACUAUAACGGUCCUAAGGUAGCGAAAUUCCUUGUCGGGUAAGUUCCGACCUGCACGAAUGGCGUAAUGAUGGCCAGGCUGUCUCCACCCGAGACUCAGUGAAAUUGAACUCGCUGUGAAGAUGCAGUGUACCCGCGGCAAGACGGAAAGACCCCGUGAACCUUUACUAUAGCUUGACACUGAACAUUGAGCCUUGAUGUGUAGGAUAGGUGGGAGGCUUUGAAGUGUGGACGCCAGUCUGCAUGGAGCCGGCCUUGAAAUACCACCCUUUAAUGUUUGAUGUUCUAACGUUGGCCCCUGAUCGGGGUUGCGGACAGUGUCUGGUGGGUAGUUUGACUGGGGCGGUCUCCUCCUAAAGAGUAACGGAGGAGCACGAAGGUUGGCUAAUCCUGGUCGGACAUCAGGAGGUUAGUGCAAUGGCAUAAGCCAGCUUGACUGCGAGCGUGACGGCGCGAGCAGGUGCGAAAGCAGGUCAUAGUGAUCCGGUGGUUCUGAAUGGAAGGGCCAUCGCUCAACGGAUAAAAGGUACUCCGGGGAUAACAGGCUGAUACCGCCCAAGAGUUCAUAUCGACGGCGGUGUUUGGCACCUCGAUGUCGGCUCAUCACAUCCUGGGGCUGAAGUAGGUCCCAAGGGUAUGGCUGUUCGCCAUUUAAAGUGGUACGCGAGCUGGGUUUAGAACGUCGUGAGACAGUUCGGUCCCUAUCUGCCGUGGGCGCUGGAGAACUGAGGGGGGCUGCUCCUAGUACGAGAGGACCGGAGUGGACGCAUCACUGGUGUUCGGGUUGUCAUGCCAAUGGCACUGCCCGGUAGCUAAAUGCGGAAGAGAUAAGUGCUGAAAGCAUCUAAGCACGAAACUUGCCCCGAGAUGAGUUCUCCCUGAGACUUAGAGUCUCCUGAAGGAACGUUGAAGACGACGACGUUGAUAGGCCGGGUGUGUAAGCGCAGCGAUGCGUUGAGCUAACCGGUACUAAUGAACCGUGAGGCUUAACCUU